UAGAUGCCCAGAGUCAGAGGUGACAAU
RNAcentral lists this non-coding RNA (27 nucleotides) under Homo sapiens (human). The record is from RNAcentral. Lineage: Eukaryota; Metazoa; Chordata; Mammalia; Primates; Hominidae.